This 397-nucleotide ribosomal RNA is filed under the name uncultured bacterium. Its description in RNAcentral is "bacterial SSU rRNA". It matches the Rfam family "Bacterial small subunit ribosomal RNA", at positions 30 to 428 of the family's 1533-position model. The record is from RNAcentral.
AUUGAACGCUGGCGGCAUGCCUUACACAUGCAAGUCGAACGGCAGCACGGACUUCGGUCCGGUGGCGAGUGGCGAACGGGUGAGUAAUGCAUCGGAACGUGCCAUUGAGUGGGGGAUAACGUAGCGAAAGUUGCGCUAAUACCGCAUAUUCUGUGAGCAGGAAAGCAGGGGACCGCAAGGCCUUGCGCUCUUUGAGCGGCCGAUGUCAGAUUAGCUAGUUGGUGAGGUAAAGGCUUACCAAGGCGACGAUCUGUAGCGGGUCUGAGAGGAUGAUCCGCCACACUGGAACUGAGACACGGUCCAGACUCCUACGGGAGGCAGCAGUGGGGAAUUUUGGGACAAUGGGGGCAACCCUGAUCCAGCCAUGCCGCGUGAGUGAAGAAGGCCUCGGUUGUAA